RNAcentral lists this ribosomal RNA (492 nucleotides) under uncultured bacterium. RNAcentral describes it as "partial 16S ribosomal RNA". It matches the Rfam family "Bacterial small subunit ribosomal RNA", at positions 29 to 507 of the family's 1533-position model. The record is from RNAcentral.
AGUGAACGCUGGCGGCAUGCUUUACACAUGCAAGUCGAACGGUAACACACUAACAGCUUGCUCUUACUGGUGGACGGUUGCGGAAGGCAGCGGAAUGUAUCCAGAUCUAGUUUUUCGUGGAGCAUAAGGUAGGCAAAUAUACCAUAUGAUCGCAUAAGGCAUACGGGGGAAAGAAAGGGAAUGUUUGACCUUGCGCGUUUGAAUCAGCCGAUGUCGGAUUAGCUAGUUGGCGGGGUAAAGGCCCACCAAGGCGACGAUCCGUAGCUGGUCUGAGAGGAUGAUCAGCCACACUGGAACUGAGACACGGCCCAGACUCCUACGGGAGGCAGCAGUGGGGAAUAUUGGACAAUGGGCGCAAGCCUGAUCCAGCCAUACCGCGUGCGUGAAGAAGGCCUUCGGGUUGUAAAGCGCUUUUGGUGGGAAAGAAAAGCUGCAGGCUAAUACCCCGCGGUAAUGACGGUACCCAAAGAAUAAGCACCGGCUAACUACGUG